AUAUCAGUAAGCGGAGGAAAAGAAACUAACAAGGAUUCCCCCAGUAACGGCGAGUGAAGCGGGAACAGCCCAUGACGAACCCUUUACUAAAAGGGCGUGUGUCGUGGAGCUGGGCUCGGGCGAGCUGCGACCGCCGCAGGUCCCCUGGAAAGGGGCGGCACAGAGGGUGAGACCCCCGUGGCGGCGGGCGCGGCGCGCGGCGAGCGCAGCAGCGAGUCGGAUUGUUUGGGAAUGCAAUCCCAAGCAGGUGGUACGCGCCAUCUAAGGCUAAACAGCGGCAAGAGACCGAUAGCAAACAAGUACCGUGAGGGAAAGAUGAAAAGGACUCUGAAGAGAGAGUCAAAAGUGCGUGAAAUUGCGUCGAGGGAAACGAAGGCGUGCGCGACGGAGUGGGCGAGCUCGGCGAAGCGAGAAGGAGCGCGGGAGGUGCCAUGUGGCGACACACGGACGUACAGCCGCGCGCGCUAGCAUCGCAGGGCACCGGCCACGGCGCGCGUCUUUGACCCGUCUUGAAACACGG
RNAcentral lists this ribosomal RNA (520 nucleotides) under uncultured fungus. RNAcentral's name for it is "eukaryotic LSU rRNA". It matches the Rfam family "Eukaryotic large subunit ribosomal RNA", at positions 40 to 664 of the family's 3401-position model. The record is from RNAcentral. Lineage: Eukaryota; Fungi.